GGUCUCCUCAGAUCUCCGCGCUGCAUCAGUAACAGAGUAAAUCUGCGCCACUGUGGAAAUGAACGCUGGCGUUAGGAGCUUCUUUAGUCUGCUGCUAAUCACACACUUUAGCAGAGCCCAGAAAAUCAGUGAUGACUCCAUCAACACCCCCCACCCUCCUGUGCUGUUCAGCAUCAGCCCCCAAUCCUACAUCAGCUUCCUGCUGCUGGGCCUGACCGUCGUCGUGUUCGGCGGCGUCUAUCUCUGGAUCCUCAGAUACGUCUGCAUCGGCUGCUGCCAGCCCAUCACAGUGGGCGUUGAAUCAGAAGCCCUGGCAGGGAUGGUGUGAAGUCAUCGGCCCCUGUCUGAUUGAGUUGGGCUGUUACCAAGUCACACAGGACAUGUACCUCGGUUUUACAGGUAAAAGACUUGGCCUAUCCGACUUGUCAUCAAUUUUGCAAAAGAAAGUAGGUGUCAGGGAAGAUAACUAAGUGUGUAGUCAUUUGUGCUCCCAUAUAAGUUUUUUUUUUCAAGUGCGGUUCCAGAGCGCUCAGUGACAGUGUCAAUGCUGGAAAAUAAGAAAGUAGGAGAAAAGUAGUUCUUUUGCUCUUACUUCUACACCCUGCUUACCUGAUAUCUGGCAAACAUCUGUUGGACACUGCCUGAAAAAUCGCUAAAAAGCUACUGAGCAGUGAACGUGAGACACAAUUGUAAAGCUGGGUGGCAGAAAUUUAAGAAAAAGUUCAGCUAAUAAGCUGAUAAAAUGCUUUGUAUCUUUGCUUUAGGGUUUUCUUUGUAGUUUAUUGACUGUUUUAUUUCGAAACCCUUUUUUCAUGGUUUCUUUUCUUACUUCCUGCCUUUCUCCUUCACAAGUGGGUUUUGUGUGUAACAAUUAGCCAUUUAGUGUAUUUAUAAUGGCGUCCCCCUUUUCUG
Long non-coding RNA from Oreochromis aureus, 912 nucleotides. The record is from Ensembl. Lineage: Eukaryota; Metazoa; Chordata; Actinopteri; Cichliformes; Cichlidae.